Molecule: ribosomal RNA, 465 nt
Filed under: Vreelandella stevensii
Lineage: Bacteria; Pseudomonadati; Pseudomonadota; Gammaproteobacteria; Oceanospirillales; Halomonadaceae
Description: partial 16S ribosomal RNA
Rfam family: Bacterial small subunit ribosomal RNA
Source: RNAcentral
CCUACGGGAGGCAGCAGUGGGGAAUAUUGGACAAUGGGGGCAACCCUGAUCCAGCCAUGCCGCGUGUGUGAAGAAGGCCCUCGGGUUGUAAAGCACUUUCAGUGAGGAAGAACGCCUGGUGGUUAAUACCCAUCAGGAAAGACAUCACUCACAGAAGAAGCACCGGCUAACUCCGUGCCAGCAGCCGCGGUAAUACGGAGGGUGCGAGCGUUAAUCGGAAUUACUGGGCGUAAAGCGCGCGUAGGUGGCUUGAUAAGCCGGUUGUGAAAGCCCCGGGCUCAACCUGGGAACGGCAUCCGGAACUGUCAAGGUAGAGUGCAGGAGAGGAAGGUAGAAUUCCCGGUGUAGAGGUGAAAUGCGUAGAGAUCGGGAGGAAUACCAGUGGCGAAGGCGGCCUUCUGGACUGACACUGACACUGAGGUGCGAAAGCGUGGGUAGCAAACAGGAUUAGAUACCCUGGUAGUC